GACAACUUUAAAGCUCAUGAUUUAAGCCAUCUAGCCAGGUUUAAGGUCGGAGUUCGACUCUUCUGGUAAAAUUACUCCCUCUCGGUUGUUCCUUAAUUUUCAUUAAAAAUAAAAUGUAGUUUGACCCUCAACUUUUGAAUAUAGUGACAAUGUACCAUUUGACCUUUAAAAAAUUACACUAUACCACACCACCUAUCAAAAACAAAACAAAGUGCCACCUCCGGUACUUUUCUGGGCAAAAUAUAAUUUAAUGAUUUCAGAUUUUGCAGAAAUUAAUUCCAAAAAUCGAAAAAUUAUGGGGGAAAAAAAAAGAAAAGAAAAGAAAAGAAAACCCAGAGCACGUGAGAGAGAGAAAGAGGGGAGGGAGAGAAGGGGGGGCGGUGGUUGGGCCCGUCCCUGAAUCACCUUCAUCUGAAACAAUUGAAGGAUCCCUUCGAGGCGGCGUUUGAGGAGCAGGAGUCGUCGCCGCCUGAAUCCCCUUCCCCUUCCCCUGCCAAGAUGCAAUAGUAACUAGAGAUGUGAACCAGUUCUUCUCGUUCGUCGUUUCUCGUGUCCGGGCGGCCAACCAUCGCCCCCUCUCUCUCUGACAUGCUCUGGGAAAAUGGCCAGAAAAGUACCCGAGGUGGUACUUUGCUUCGCUUUUACUAGGUCAGUGAUAUAAUGUAACUUUUUAAAGGUUAAGGGGCACAUUGUCACUAAACCUGGCAAAUCGCGUUAGGUUAAGGGGUACAUUGUCACUACACCUGGCAAAUUGCGUUUUAAUCUUUCGUUGAUGAA
Punica granatum (pomegranate) is the source of this 777-nucleotide non-coding RNA. The record is from RefSeq and is a predicted model, not a curated record. NCBI's taxonomy places the organism in Eukaryota, Viridiplantae, Streptophyta, Magnoliopsida, Myrtales, Lythraceae.